AGGGUGACCCAGCAACCCGCGUGGAGGACGACAGCCGUAAGGUUGUAAACUCCUGUUCGGGGGGACGAAUAACCGUCGUUUGCAAAGGCGACGGCUUGACGGUACCCUCAGAGAAAGCCCCGGCUAACUACGUGCCAGCAGCCGCGGUAAUACGUAGGGGGCAAACGUUGUCCGGAUUUACUGGGUGUAAAGGGCGCGCAGGCGGGUCGGUCAGUCAGAGGUGAAAGCCCACAGCUUAACUGUGGAACUGCCUUUGAUACUGCCGAUCUUGAGUGCGGGAGAGAGAAGCGGAAUUCCAGGUGUAGUGGUGAAAUACGUAGAUAUCUGGAAGAACACCGGUUGCGAAGGCGGCUUCUUGGACCGACACUGACGCUGAGGCGCGAAAGCGUGGGGAGCGAACAGGAUUAGAUACCCUGGUAGUCCACGCUGUAAACGAUGAAUGUUAGAUGUCGGGGGAUUUUUCCUUCGGCGUCAAAGUUAACGCAUUAAACAUUCCACCUGGGAAGUACGAUCGCAAGGUUGAAACUCAAAGGAAUUGACGGGGGCCCGCACAAGCAGUGGAGCAUGUGGUUUAAUUCGAUGCAACGCGAAGAACCUUACCUAGGCUUGAAAUGUGUUCGAUCGGUCGUGAAAGCGACCUUCCUUCGGGCGGACACACAGGUGCUGCAUGGCUGUCGUCAGCUCGUGCCGCGAGGUGUUGGGUUAAGUCCCGCAACGAGCGCAACCCCUACCAUUAGUUGCCACCGGGUAAUGCCGAGCACUCUAAUGGAACUGCCUACGCAAGUAGUGAGGAAGGUGGGGACGACGUCAAGUCCGCAUGGCCCUUACGCCUAGGGCUACACACGUGCUACAAUGGGCGCAACAAUGGGCAGCGAUACCGCGAGGUGGAGCGAAUCCCUAAAAAGCGUCCUCAGUUCGGAUUGGAGUCUGCAACUCGACUUCAUGAAGUUGGAAUUGCUAGUAAUCGCGUAUCAGCAUGACGCGGUGAUACGUUCCCGGGCCUUGCACACACCGCCCGUCAAGCCAUGGAGCCGGGGGUACCCAAAGAUAGCGACCCAACCUUCGGGAAGGAGCUAUUUAAGGUAAACCGGUAACUGGGGCUA
Molecule: ribosomal RNA, 1103 nt
Filed under: uncultured organism
Description: bacterial SSU rRNA
Rfam family: Bacterial small subunit ribosomal RNA
Source: RNAcentral